CAUCCUGUAGUGAUGAACAAAUGAAGUCUCACAAAUCAACGAAGAUUUCCAGCCCUGUGCGCCAAGGUUCAUUACUCAGUAAUUCAUUCAUUGCUCACUAGUGACAUCUGCUGUUGAACUAAAACUGUGACACAUUGUCACUCAAGUAAAUUAUACUUCAAAAUAUAUGACAACUUACCAGUUUAGGCAAUAUGUCACAAUAAGGUUUUAAUCAAAUCCAUUUAGGAUCUAUUGAACCCAAUUUAUCUUGUUGUGAUUUGUGCCUGAAGUAAUCCUGCUGUUGACUGAGGUUGUGUUUUCUUAUAUCUUAUAGACUGAUUUGACAGUAAAGAUAUUUGUGUGGCAGUAUGCCCUGUAGGCUCUGAACGCAUCACACAAGUGCCUGAAUCUAAUUGGUUGUUGCGCUGGCUGUCAGUAUAUAAAGGGCCCUCCCUCACCUGGUUGACAUCACGUUGUUUUCCUUCUGGUUCAGACCUCGGCGUUUGCUGGCGUUGCACGCUAGCCGCAUAUUAAUGCACGCUCAACUGGUGCGCUUAACGACGCUCUAGUCGCCGAUCGAUCGGUGGCCCGUACAAGCUGCCUGAUUUCCCUUCCUGUCAGCGGCGCUACAUAUAGAGCUCAGUGGUCAGUGAAAUGCUCAUCUUCUGUAUGCUUCCAGAUUCCAUUUCUGACGCUGCUGUUUGUCCCUGGCUGGCGGUCCGCCUGCCGUCCUGGUCGGCGUAAAACUGGCUCCUGUCAUUCGUCCUUAAAUUCAAAAUGAGCGAAAUAUAAUCAGCCAUCUUUUCAUGCUAUUUGACGAUAUAUAAUUAACUCUUACUCCAUCCAAACAGCAAUAAGAUGAGAAAACUGAGUAAAUCUGUAUAACAACACUAAAGGACAUGUCAUAAUCUACAUUUGCUAAAAUGUUUCUGAUUUUUACACAAGAACAGUUUGAUUUCAGCCAGAAACGAUAAAUGUUUUACUUAACAGGCUACUUCCAAGUAACUUUACACACUUUUUAGACUCCAAGGCUGCAAAUAUAACAAAAUGUAAAAAUGUGUUUCAAAAAUAGCAAAUACUAAAUAAAAAUGAAAGUGGCAUCUUAAUGAGCUAAUCUAAGCCAGUUAAAGCUUUAUUCUACCUGACAUGCUGGCUAUCUUGUAUGCUAGCUCAAAUUAGCCUCAAACAAAGAAGUAAAUGAAGGAAACA
Molecule: long non-coding RNA, 1188 nt
Organism: Xiphophorus couchianus (Monterrey platyfish)
Lineage: Eukaryota; Metazoa; Chordata; Actinopteri; Cyprinodontiformes; Poeciliidae
Exons: 3
Source: RefSeq, a predicted model, not a curated record